Molecule: unclassified non-coding RNA, 187 nt
Filed under: fungal sp.
Lineage: Eukaryota; Fungi
Description: partial internal transcribed spacer region
Rfam family: Eukaryotic small subunit ribosomal RNA (bases 1-46)
Source: RNAcentral
AAGUCGUAACAAGGUUUCCGUAGGUGAACCUGCGGAAGGAUCAUUAUUUGAUCUGAAUUGGCGACAUUUGAAAAAUGCAGCCUUUUUGCUUUGUGAACUGUCUUGUACUGUUGUUUUUUUUAAUAGUUGCUUUUUUUCUUCGGAAAAAAAAUAAAGACAACUUUCAGCAAUGGAUCUCUUGGCUCUU